RNAcentral lists this ribosomal RNA (450 nucleotides) under Triticum aestivum (bread wheat). RNAcentral describes it as "partial small subunit ribosomal RNA". The record is from RNAcentral. Lineage: Eukaryota; Viridiplantae; Streptophyta; Magnoliopsida; Poales; Poaceae.
AUGGAGGCGAAGCUUGCCGAGGAGGCCGGCAGCGCUGGUGGUGUGGAGGACAAGGCCGCGGCGGAGGCAGAGGAGAAGGAGCUCGCCCAAUGGGCAGAGGCCGUUGGGGAGGCCAGUAGCGCCGGCACCGGGGCUCCCCUCGUUGAAGAUGUGGUUGACGAGUCGUCGCAGGAGGAGGUCGAGGCUGUCGGCCUGACACCUACCAUGGGGAGAGGGCCAGUCCUGCGGCGGGCCAGCUCCGGCGAGCUGGUCCGGCCCGGCAGGGCUGUGCGGCCGCAGCUGACCCCGGAGCCCAGAGGAGUGCGGGCGCCACGCAAGGGCCGCGGCGGCAAAGAAGCUGGUGAAGGCCGCGGUGAAGAAGAAGACAACUGCCCCUUCUUCGUCCAAGCGUGUCCAAACCCCGCCUUCUUCCACUCCUCCGGCAGAUGUCGACGCGGAGGUUUUUUUUGA